UACGUAGGGACCGAGCGUUGUCCGGAAUCAUUGGGCGUAAAGCGCGUGUAGGCGGCCCGGUAAGUCCGCUGUGAAAGUCGGGGGCUCAACCCUCGGAUGCCGGUGGAUACUGUCGGGCUAGAGUGCGGGAGAGGCGAGUGGAAUUCCUGGUGUAGCGGUGAAAUGCGCAGAUAUCAGGAGGAACACCAAUUGCGAAGGCAGCUCGCUGGAACGUUACUGACGCUGAGACGCGAAAGCGUGGGGAGCGAACAGG
This 253-nucleotide ribosomal RNA is filed under the name uncultured bacterium. Its description in RNAcentral is "partial 16S ribosomal RNA". It matches the Rfam family "Bacterial small subunit ribosomal RNA", at positions 524 to 776 of the family's 1533-position model. The record is from RNAcentral.